GACGAACGCUGGCGGCGUGCUUAACACAUGCAAGUCGAACGGAAAGGCCCUGCUUUUGUGGGGUGCUCGAGUGGCGAACGGGUGAGUAACACGUGAGUAACCUGCCCUUGACUUUGGGAUAACUUCAGGAAACUGGGGCUAAUACCGGAUAGGAGCUCCUGCUGCAUGGUGGGGGUUGGAAAGUUUCGGCGGUUGGGGAUGGACUCGCGGCUUAUCAGCUUGUUGGUGGGGUAGUGGCUUACCAAGGCUUUGACGGGUAGCCGGCCUGAGAGGGUGACCGGCGACAUUGGGACUGAGAUACGGCCCAGACUCCUACGGGAGGCAGCAGUGGGGAAUAUUGCACAAUGGGCGGAAGCCUGAUGCAGCAACGCCGCGUGCGGGAAGACGGCCUUCGGGGUGUAAACCGCUUUCGCCUGUGACGAAGCGUGAGUGACGGUAAUGGGUAAAGAAGCACCGGCUAACUACGUG
This 468-nucleotide ribosomal RNA is filed under the name uncultured bacterium. RNAcentral's name for it is "partial 16S ribosomal RNA". It matches the Rfam family "Bacterial small subunit ribosomal RNA", at positions 28 to 507 of the family's 1533-position model. The record is from RNAcentral.